AGAGGAGCGCUGUUUCUGGAGGAGUUAGGGGAAGGAGGCUGCCUGGUAAGCCAGGAAAGGGGCUUCUGGCCGUUCUGUUGGAGCGCCUCUGACUGACUUCCCCCAUGUGUCCGUGUGGCCACACCGUGCUACUUUCAGAGGCAGUGGGCUUUUCGCUAAGGGAUAAAAAGAAGUAAAACCUUGCCUUUAGCGCAGCUCUCCUUCACUGGGCAGAUUGCUCUCCCUCCCCACUCUCCCAGGCCCAAAUUGGAUCUCAGCGCCUGGGAGCUCCAACUUUAGCAAGUGCGAAAUCCUGUCUUCGGUUUUGGAAUUUUCAUCCGCACAGACUAUAUCAGCCACGGAUAGGAUAUGUGAGAAUACCAGCAUGUCAAGGCUGGGAAUCAUCCUUAGGCAUCACCUAGCCAGUCCUGCCUCUCAUUUUAAGGCUCUGCUUUUAGGGAAUCUGACUUAAGACGGAAAACUUGCUGAAUAAAUUAAUGAAGACCCAGGAUUUUUCUCUGGAGAAUGAAAACUGACAGUACAUUUGCUUCAGCUUUGGUCACCUGUACCUACAUUAAGGAGGACCAUGUUACUUCUGGGGUAGGCUCACCCGUGAAAGCACAGGCUACUGUUAGAACUUUGCCUUCAUCAAUGCUGAUAUCAGAUGGAAGAGCUUCAAUUUUAGGCGGAAUUCCUUUAUGGAACAAUGACAAAAAAAAGGUCUUAGAAUCACUGAAAAAAAUAAAGAUUUGCUUUCUACUGAA
This 743-nucleotide long non-coding RNA is filed under the name Homo sapiens (human). RNAcentral describes it as "HSALNT0307574". Lineage: Eukaryota; Metazoa; Chordata; Mammalia; Primates; Hominidae. The record is from RNAcentral.